This 755-nucleotide long non-coding RNA is filed under the name Citrus x clementina. RNAcentral's name for it is "Citrus clementina (C. clementina) long non-coding RNA (CCLE_LNC002634)". The record is from RNAcentral. Lineage: Eukaryota; Viridiplantae; Streptophyta; Magnoliopsida; Sapindales; Rutaceae.
UUACAAUUUCAAAAUUUUGCCAUUAGAUUAUGAGAAAUCCAAAGAUAAAAACUUGUAUCCAAAUUUAAAAAUUAAAGUGAAAAACUCUCCACCUUUCGAUACGGCAUUUUGGAGAAAUCAGAUCAACGGCUACAAUUGUAUCCGCAUGUGAAGGACGGUCCCAACUUCUUUCAAUAUCGCAUUGCACGGGGCAUAAAUGGGCUUGGGGCAUUCAAGGAAACUCUGCCGGAGCGCGUGGAGUACACGUGCAAAUGAGGAGCAAAAGACCCAAGUCAUGGACCCGACGUAGCAAAAGCAAAACGUGAACUCUCUGAUUGACUGAUUGUGAUUGAUCAUCAUCAAAAAUCGUCUGCGGCUGCAUUUGCCAUUUUGAUACACACAAUACUUUCAAAAGGAGAGCAAGUAAGAGUGCAAAACACAGAAGAAAGAGAGUGAGAGAGCUUUCAGCUCUGCACUUGGGUUGAUCCAGUCAGUCAGUCACUCGUUUUCUCUCUCUUUAUAGUAAAAAUGUCAUAAAUAGUGACAAAGUUUACAUUCUUUUCAAAUGAGUCCCCAUCAAUAGGUUCAUUAACAGGAUCAUUGAUAUUGCUGCAUAUAGACACCUAAAUUUCAUAAUUAGUGUCGUUUCAAACAAAGACAUCACUAUAUUUGAAAACACACAAGUAUUAUAAGUGUAUGUUAAAUAAGUCUAGCGGAUCAAUGUUAUUUCAUUCUUUUUAUGGUAUAAUUUUAGAAAAUUUACCUAUUAAAAUAAU